GCUGGGCGUGGUGUCGCGCGCCUGUAAUCCCAGCUACUCAGGAGGCUAAGGCAGGAGAAUCACUUGAACCCAGGAGGCGGAGGUUGCAGUGAGCCAAGAUCGUGCCACUGCACUCCAGCCUGGGUGACAGAGUGAGACUCCGUCUCAA
RNAcentral lists this non-coding RNA (148 nucleotides) under Pan troglodytes (chimpanzee). Lineage: Eukaryota; Metazoa; Chordata; Mammalia; Primates; Hominidae. The record is from Rfam by way of RNAcentral.